This 876-nucleotide long non-coding RNA is filed under the name Ricinus communis (castor bean). RNAcentral describes it as "long non-coding RNA (RCOM_LNC002552)". The record is from RNAcentral. Lineage: Eukaryota; Viridiplantae; Streptophyta; Magnoliopsida; Malpighiales; Euphorbiaceae.
GUUGCAUAAUCAUCAAUAGGUAUAAAAUACAGGCAAAAGUGAAGUUUAUUACUAUUUUUUCACAUAAAACAUAGUACGACAGGAAGAGAUGGCAGAAGUGGAACUACAAAGCUACAGUCAACCCGAGAUACACAUUUCAAUUCUAUCAUCAUCAAUUCCUGAUUAAGAAAAAAGCCCUCUAGGAAAUGACAAUAACAGAAGAGACGUUUCUGGUAACUUCGCUUGAAGCAGCCCCCACAACAACUGAAAACCAUAUCUUACAAUGACCUAAAAUAAACAAACAAACACACACUGGUAGUAGGGUUAGGUUAUACUCCUGCAAGGGCUUGACCAAAAAUGAGCCAUGCAAGAGCGUCCUAACCACAGAAGACACUGCACCAACAUUCCUGCUAAUAACUGUGUGCGUCAAAUAUCCCAGUUAAUGCAGGAACAUCCUAUUCACAUGUUCAUUGAAAGAAAAGGCUGGACAAUAAUAAUAAUAUUCACAGCUUCUUUAGAUAAGAGACUAGCAGAAAACCCAAGUAGAAAAGUUUAUUCUUCACAAUUAAAAGAGAAGAUGAUGGUGUGUUCACUAAGAUUAACCAUCUAAAUUGGAGGAGCUGAAUGGUGGGGUUGCACCAGCAGAAGAAGGAGGAGAAGUCCCAGCAUCUCCUCCGCGGUUUCCUCUGUUUAAUUUCAGAGUUUCCCCUGCUUUGGCGAUUAUCGAGGAGAUUGUUUUUGUGAAGCUCUCAAGAAUCUGAGCUUUAAUUUGGCCUCUUUUUGGUAGAAUAUUUGCUUUCUUUCCCUUGAGGGAGGUGGAAGAAGCCUCGUCCAUCGGCAUCGCCUCAAACAAGAUAAUCUAAAAACAGAACAGAAACAGAGCACAGAUAGAACAGA